RNAcentral lists this transfer RNA (76 nucleotides) under Thermoplasmata archaeon. RNAcentral describes it as "tRNA-Glu". It matches the Rfam family "tRNA". Rfam says of the family: Transfer RNA (tRNA) molecules are approximately 80 nucleotides in length. Their secondary structure includes four short double-helical elements and three loops (D, anti-codon, and T loops). Lineage: Archaea; Methanobacteriati; Thermoplasmatota; Thermoplasmata. The record is from RNAcentral. RNAcentral also lists the same sequence under 1 other name.
GCUCCUGUAGUGUAGUGGCCAAUCAUUCGAGCCUCUCGAGUUCGAUACCCGGGUUCAAAUCCCGGCGGGAGCGCCA